AGAGUUUGAUCCUGGCUCAGGAUGAACGCUGGCGGCGUGCUUAACACAUGCAAGUCGAACGAUGAUCCCAGCUUGCUGGGGGAUUAGUGGCGAACGGGUGAGUAACACGUGAGUAACCUGCCCUUAACUCUGGGAUAAGCCUGGGAAACUGGGUCUAAUACCGGAUAUGACUCCUCAUCGCAUGGUGGGGGGUGGAAAGCUUUAUUGUGGUUUUGGAUGGACUCGCGGCCUAUCAGCUUGUUGGUGAGGUAAUGGCUCACCAAGGCGACGACGGGUAGCCGGCCUGAGAGGGUGACCGGCCACACUGGGACUGAGACACGGCCCAGACUCCUACGGGAGGCAGCAGUGGGGAAUAUUGCACAAUGGGCGAAAGCCUGAUGCAGCGACGCCGCGUGAGGGAUGACGGCCUUCGGGUUGUAAACCUCUUUCAGUAGGGAAGAAGCGAAAGUGACGGUACCUGCAGAAGAAGCGCCGGCUAACUACGUGCCAGCAGCCGCGGUAAUACGUAGGGCGCAAGCGUUAUCCGGAAUUAUUGGGCGUAAAGAGCUCGUAGGCGGUUUGUCGCGUCUGCCGUGAAAGUCCGGGGCUCAACUCCGGAUCUGCGGUGGGUACGGGCAGACUAGAGUGAUGUAGGGGAGACUGGAAUUCCUGGUGUAGCGGUGAAAUGCGCAGAUAUCAGGAGGAACGCCGAUGGCGAAGGCAGGUCUCUGGGCAUUAACUGACGCUGAGGAGCGAAAGCAUGGGGAGCGAACAGGAUUAGAUACCCCAGUAGUCC
Molecule: ribosomal RNA, 775 nt
Filed under: uncultured Arthrobacter sp.
Lineage: Bacteria; Bacillati; Actinomycetota; Actinomycetes; Micrococcales; Micrococcaceae
Description: bacterial SSU rRNA
Rfam family: Bacterial small subunit ribosomal RNA
Source: RNAcentral